This is a non-coding RNA of Schistosoma mansoni, 78 nucleotides long. The record is from Rfam. NCBI's taxonomy places the organism in Eukaryota, Metazoa, Platyhelminthes, Trematoda, Strigeidida, Schistosomatidae.
AACUUUCUAAAUCAGUGUCAAGAUUUCGUCACUCACUAACCCACCAAUGCUGAUGAGACUUCCAAGGUAAGUGAAGUA